Molecule: transfer RNA, 72 nt
Filed under: Bos taurus (domestic cattle)
Lineage: Eukaryota; Metazoa; Chordata; Mammalia; Artiodactyla; Bovidae
Rfam family: tRNA
About the family: Transfer RNA (tRNA) molecules are approximately 80 nucleotides in length. Their secondary structure includes four short double-helical elements and three loops (D, anti-codon, and T loops). Further hydrogen bonds mediate the characteristic L-shaped molecular structure. tRNAs have two regions of fundamental functional importance: the anti-codon, which is responsible for specific mRNA codon recognition, and the 3' end, to which the tRNAs corresponding amino acid is attached (by aminoacyl-tRNA synthetases). tRNAs cope with the degeneracy of the genetic code in two manners: having more than one tRNA (with a specific anti-codon) for a particular amino acid; and 'wobble' base-pairing, i.e. permitting non-standard base-pairing at the 3rd anti-codon position.
Source: Rfam by way of RNAcentral
UUCCUGAUGGUCUAGUGAUUAAGAUUCCGUGCUUCCAAUGCGGGGGCAUAGAUUCGAUCCCUGUUUGGAGAA